UCUCCAAAUAGUUUAGGUUAGC
This 22-nucleotide non-coding RNA is filed under the name Arabidopsis thaliana (thale cress). Lineage: Eukaryota; Viridiplantae; Streptophyta; Magnoliopsida; Brassicales; Brassicaceae. The record is from RNAcentral.